RNAcentral lists this ribosomal RNA (301 nucleotides) under uncultured bacterium. Its description in RNAcentral is "partial 16S ribosomal RNA". It matches the Rfam family "Bacterial small subunit ribosomal RNA", at positions 509 to 808 of the family's 1533-position model. The record is from RNAcentral.
CAGUCGCCGCGGGAAUACAGAGGAUGCAAGCGUUAUCCGGAAUUAUUGGGCGUAAAGGGCUCGCAGGCGGUUUCUUAAGUCUGAUGUGAAAGCCCCCGGCUCAACCGGGGAGGGUCAUUGGAAACUGGGAACUUGAGUGCAGAAGAGGAGAGUGGAAUUCCACGUGUAGCGGUGAAAUGCGUAGAGAUGUGGAGGAACACCAGUGGCGAAAGCGACUCUCUGGUCUGUAACUGACGCUGAGGAGCGAAAGCGUGGGGAGCGAACAGGAUUAGAUACCCCAGUAGUCCCUGUCUCUUAUACA